This 369-nucleotide unclassified non-coding RNA is filed under the name Hevea brasiliensis (rubber tree). The record is from RNAcentral. Lineage: Eukaryota; Viridiplantae; Streptophyta; Magnoliopsida; Malpighiales; Euphorbiaceae.
AUUGUUUUGGUCAUCCUGAUGUGAUAGGGAAGAUUGGAACAGAUAUUGAAGAUUUCAAGUGCUCCUGGUUGGUUGUAAAAGCACUAGAACUAAGUGAUGAAAAACAGAAGACUUUGCUACAUGAGAACUAUGGGAAAGCAGAUAAGGAUUGUGUUGCCAAAGUUAAAGAGUUAUAUAAAGCCCUCAAUCUAGAGGGUGUAUUUGCCGAGUACGAGAGCAAAAGUUACGAGAAGCUUCUAAAAUCCAUAGAAGUUCAUCCAAGUGAAGCAGUACAAGCAGUGUUGAAAUCUUUCCUUGCAAAGAUAUACAAGAGGCAGAAAUAGAGAACGAAAAAAAGAUGGACAUCGUCGACCGAGAACCGUCAAUCCG